AAAAAAACAGUGUGGCUCUGCUAGGGUUCUUUUAUCCCAUCCUUGCGCCGCCGUUCUUAGCCCACCGGCCGAUUCAAAUCCCGGCCAUUCCGGCCCCGAUUCAGGCGAAGCAGGCUCGGGUUUCAACGGCAUAUCCUUGAAGGUGAUAUUCCCUUUUUUUAUUUUUUGUUUAAUAUACAAAAAAUCGGAAAAUAAAUAAAGCAAACAAAGAAAUAAAAGAUCUAAGUCAAAAUUCACCUCUUUUGAUUUUAUUUCACUGUUUUUUUCAAUUUACAGUCCUCUCCCCCAUUACAUAUUUUAAUCGGCUUUUAAAUAGCCGAAAAUAACAAUGAAAAUAAUAAAAAUAAAAAUAGAAAAUAGAAAAUCCCUUCUUUUUCGUUAUUUUGCUGUAGUCGUUGGCUGUUUGUUGCUGUAGGUUCGUGCGUGACGUGCGCGGGGUGGUCGAUUCCGAGACGUGCGGCGCUUGGGAACUUCUGGAGGCGGAGUAGCGGCUGUUGCGGCGCUGAGGCGAAUGCAUCUAGGGUUUCGGUGUUUUGGGGUUUGGGUAAUUGGGCCUAGGCUAGUAGUUUUGCUGUAUUGGGCCAUGUCCUGUUUUUGUGCGGGCUUGGGUUAUUUUUGUUUGUUAUUAUUAUUUUAAAAGCCCGGGCAAAAGGGCUAUUACAGUAUAUAUAUAUAGGUGUUGUGUGAUGAAUUCCCUAAUAAAUAUAUGUGGUUGUUAUGCAAUCUAUCCUUAUAAAUGUUAUGUAAAUGAACUCUUAGACAAUGCAUGUUAAAAUGUUACGCGUUACUAAACACAAGACUCUAAUAUAAUAUAUGUAUAUGGUUAUUGUGGAUGCAUGAUGGAAUGUUUGGGUUGUGGAU
This 861-nucleotide long non-coding RNA is filed under the name Gossypium barbadense (sea-island cotton). RNAcentral describes it as "long non-coding RNA (GBAR_LNC015601)". The record is from RNAcentral. Lineage: Eukaryota; Viridiplantae; Streptophyta; Magnoliopsida; Malvales; Malvaceae.